Molecule: ribosomal RNA, 495 nt
Filed under: uncultured bacterium
Lineage: Bacteria
Description: partial 16S ribosomal RNA
Rfam family: Bacterial small subunit ribosomal RNA
Source: RNAcentral
GACGAACGCUGGCGGCGUGCCUAAUACAUGCAAGUAGAACGCUGAAGGAGGAGCUUGCUUCUCUGGAUGAGUUGCGAACGGGUGAGUAACGCGUAGGUAACCUGCCUGGUAGCGGGGGAUAACUAUUGGAAACGAUAGCUAAUACCGCAUAAGAGUAGAUGUCGCAUGACAUUUGCUUAAAAGGUGCAAUUGCAUCACUACCAGAUGGACCUGCGUUGUAUUAGCUAGUUGGUGAGGUAACGGCUCACCAAGGCAACGAUACAUAGCCGACCUGAGAGGGUGAUCGGCCACACUGGGACUGAGACACGGCCCAGACUCCUACGGGAGGCAGCAGUAGGGAAUCUUCGGCAAUGGACGGAAGUCUGACCGAGCAACGCCGCGUGAGUGAAGAAGGGUUUCGGAUCGUAAAGCUCUGUUGUAAGAGAAGAACGAGUGUGAGAGUGGAAAGUUCACACUGUGACGGUACCUUACCAGAAAGGGACGGCUAACUACGUG